AACCGAGAACUCCUACGGGAGGCAGCAGUGGGGAAUCUUGCGCAAUGGGCGAAAGCCUGACGCAGCAACGCCGCGUGCGGGAUGAAGGCCUUCGGGUUGUAAACCGCUUUCAGCAGGGAAGAAAUUGACGGUACCUGCAGAAGAAGCCCCGGCCAACUACGUGCCAGCAGCCGCGGUAACACGUAGGGGGCGAGCGUUGUCCGGAUUUAUUGGGCGUAAGGAGCUCGUAGGCGGUUCACUAAGUCGGGUGUGAAACCUCCAGGCUCAACCUGGAGACGCCACCUGAUACUGGUGUGACUAGAGUCCGGUAGGGGAGUGUGGAACUCCUGGUGUAGCGGUGAAAUGCGCAGAUAUCAGGAAGAACACCAGCGGCGAAGGCGGCACUCUGGGCCGGUACUGACGCUGAGGAGCGAAAGCGUGGGUAGCAAACAGGAUUAGAUACCCGUGUAGUCCGACUGAGA
RNAcentral lists this ribosomal RNA (461 nucleotides) under uncultured bacterium. Its description in RNAcentral is "bacterial SSU rRNA". It matches the Rfam family "Bacterial small subunit ribosomal RNA", at positions 327 to 805 of the family's 1533-position model. The record is from RNAcentral.